RNAcentral lists this long non-coding RNA (4846 nucleotides) under Nicotiana tabacum (common tobacco). RNAcentral's name for it is "long non-coding RNA (NTAB_LNC004627)". The record is from RNAcentral. Lineage: Eukaryota; Viridiplantae; Streptophyta; Magnoliopsida; Solanales; Solanaceae.
UAGAUUCUAUUCUUUUAUAUAUAUUAGAUUACACUGUGUAGAGAAAUACACAUAAAAAUUUUCCAAAAUUCACUCUCUUUUCAUUCUCUUCAUGGUAUCAGAGCAGGCUUGAACUGCUUCAUUUUUUCACGAUCCUUCCACGAUUUUGCUGUUUCGUUUUUGCUUUUUUCUCUUCAGCUAUGAGUACCACUAGACAGACUCUGGAUCCUCUCGCAUGAUCCAUUUCCACAGUCGACCCAGUUGUACCAGCAGCUUUAGUUAUGAGUGGAGUGGUUGAUUCAUCACAUCCCUAUUACCUUCAUCCCUCGGAUUAUCCAGGGAUGAAUCUUGUGUCCACAGUUUUUGAUGGAAGAAGCUAUGAUGGAUGGAGAAGAGCUGUAGUAAUUGCUUUAUCUGCAAAAAAUAAGCUGGGCUUUAUUGAUGGAACUCUUACUAUUCCACAAGCUGAUUCUAGACAUCAACAGACUUGGGCAAGGUGUAAUGACAUGGUAUUGUCAUGGCUACUCAAUUCUCUACCUAAGAAAAUAGGUGAGAGUGUUCUUUACUCUCAAAGUGCCAAGGACUUGUGGAGUGAUUUAGAAGACAAAUUUGGACAAACUAAUGGAGCUAAGUUAUUUCAGUUACAAAAAGAACUUAGUUUGUGGUACAAAGUAAUUCUAGUGUAUCAACCUAUUUCACUAAGAUAAAAAGCUUAUGGGAUGAUCUUGAUACCUUGAACACUUUCUCAGCAUGUGUUUGUGAAUGUGAAUGUGGAGCUAAGGUGAAGAAUUAAGGCAUAACAAGAUGAAAGGUUGUUGCAGUUUUUGAUGGGUUUGAAUGACAUAUUCAUAGGUGUUAGGAGCAAUAUUUUGUUGUCUUCACCCUUACCUUUCAUUGGGCAGGUCUAUUCACUAGUGAUACAGGAUGAGAAGCAGAGGGAGAUUCAUGUUGCUCCUGCAUAUCCAGGAGAAUCUGGAUCCGUUCUUGCUACAAACCAACAAGGAAAUAGAAGAAGGUUCAAUGAAAAUAAGGGACAAAAGGGUUUUUGAUCCUAGAAAGAAUGUUGGAAUAUGUACUUAUUGCAAAAAAAACCUGGCAUACUAUUAAUAAAUGCUAUAGGAUUCAUGGGUUUCCUGCAGAUUUUAAGUUCACUAAGCAGAGGAAGUUUCAAGGGAAUGUACAUACUAAUAUUGUGUUUAACACAAAUAAAGAAGAAAUCCAAGGAAACACUAAUGUACUAGGAACAUAGUCACUUACCUAGGAAAAUGUGACACAAUUAUUGCAGCUUCUGCAACAGGUCAACAUAGGACAGCAAGGUGCAGGAACCUCUGAAGCCUCUGCAAAUCUGAGUUGUGCUGGUAUAGCCAAAAUUUUCAAUUCUUUUGCCUGUUUCAUUCAAAUUGAUAGUGAAUCAUUGAUAUUAGAUAGUGGAGCAACUGAGCAUAUGACUUUUAACAUAAAUUUCUUUAUUAACUAUAAAGUCAUGCCUAAACCCGUCAUGGUCAAUCUGCCCAAUUCACAUAGAGUAAAAGUUACAUAUUCAGGUUCUGUUGCAUUAUUACCAAACCUAGUUUUGCACAAUGUACUGUACGUGCCUUCUUUUAGAAUCAAUCUGUUGUCUGUGCACAAGUUAUGCAAACAACUCCAACAGUAUGUUCUUUUCACUCUUGAUUCUUGUUUUCUGCUGUAGGGCCCUAUACUGAAGAGCCCCCUGGAGAUUGGUAAGGAGACAAAAGGACUCUUCAUUCUCAAGUCAAGACUUGUAGCCCCAGUUUUUAAAAGCUUCCCUAAGUCUAGUACUUUUGUAUCUAGGCAGAGUUUAUAUUAUGUUCCAGUUUUUAAUUCUUAUUUUGCUUUUCCCGAUUCCAAUAUAAAAGAAAAGCUAUGGCAUUAUAGGUUAGGCCAUAUGCCUUUGAGUAAUAUGAAGAAAUUUUCUGAUGUUUCUGUUCUUUCAUGCUUUACUCAUUCUACUCCUUGUCUUAUUUGUCCUAUGGCUAGACAAUUCAAGCUUCCUUUUCCUUCAAGUUCUAUAUCAACCAAAAAGAUCUUUGAACUAAUCCAUGUGGAUACUUGGGGACCCUACGAGGAUCCUAUUUAUGAUGGUUAUAAAUAUUUCCUCAAUAUAGUUGAUGAUUAUAGUAGGGGACUUGAACCUACUUACUAAGUAACAAAUCAAAUGCUUUCACUGUGUUAAAAUCUUAUUUAGUAAUGGCAGAUAGGUAAUUUCAUACAAAAGUCAAGAUAAUCAGAUAAGAUAAUGCUUCUGAAUUGGGUUUUGGAAUUGUUCAAACAGAUUUUUUUCUUUCCCAAGGGAUUAUACAUCAAACCAGUUGUGUAUCCACUCCACAACAGAAUGGAGUUAUGGAGAGAAAACAUAAGCACUUACUAGAGACAUCUAGAGCUCUAUUGUUUCAAUCUCAUUUACCUGGAUCAUUUUGGGGGGACUUCUUGCUCACAGACACUUAUUUGAUCAACACAUACCCUUCUAGAGUAUUAAAGUUCAAGACUCCUUAUGAAGUCCUUUUUUUCAAACCAAACCUAGCUAUUCUAAUUUAAGAUGUUUUGGUUGUCUAUGCUUUGCCUCCACCCUUUCAAGACAUAGAACCAAAUUUGAUUCAAGGGUUGUUCCUUGUGUGUUUCUAGGCUAUCCACAUGGCAAAAAGGGUUAUAAGGUAGUUGAUCUGAAGACAUUAAAGGUCUUUAUUUCUAGAGAUGUAAUAUUUCAUGAGGAAUUUUUUCCAUUUCCUUCUAUCAAAUCUGAUUCUAUAGGGGCUCCUUAUCUGCCAACAACCACAUUAAACAAUUCAUUUCCCUUAAACUUAGAUUCUUCCCCACCUUUGGUUUCAUCUAACAACCAACACUCUAUUUCUACUCUUUCUCCUACCUCUAUUGUUUCUUCUUCUCCUACCCCUACUGUUUCUUCUCCUACUUCUAACCCUGGUACAACUCUAUUCCCUAACAGCCCAUUACCAGUUGGAUCAUUACCAGGCUGCUCAUCUUCUAGUUUCCAUUUACCUUCACUAUCUUCACCCGUUUAUCAACCUAUGGUAGAUACUCUAAUUAGAAAAUCUACCAGACCUCACAAUCCUCCUACAUACCUCAAGGAUUACAUUUGUAAUGAUUUUCACCUCUCAAAUAUGAGUACUACAUGUUUUCUUGCCCCAGUCUCUCCUCAAUUCUUAUCCUUUAUUAAUCUUUCCAACACUAAUCAACUUAUGCUCAAUUCUCUAUCUAAUAUGCAUGAACCUAUUAGUUAUUCAUAGGUUGCACAUCACCCAGGAUGGCAGGAAGCCAUGGAAUAGGAAAUUGCUGUUCUUCAGCUCAAUAAAACUUGGGAAGUCAUAGAAUUACCCCCAAGUAGAAAGGAUUUACCUUACAAAUAGGUCUAUAAGGUGAAACAAUGUUCAGAUGGUAGUGUGGAAAGACUAAAGGAUAGAUUGGUGGUAAGAUGUGAUAUACAGAGAUAUGAGAUAGACUUCAAUGAGACCUUUUCCCCGAUGGUCAAGAUGACCACCGUCAGAUGCAUUUUAGUUGUUGCUAUUAAGAAAAGUUGGGGUCUGUAUCAAUUGGAUGUGAAAAAUGCAUUCUUACAUGGUGAUUUAAACGAAGAAGUCUAUAUGAAAUUCCCAGUUGGCUUUACACCACCUUCUCCUAACCAUGUUUGUAAGUUGAAGGAGUCAAUUUAUGGACUUCGUCAAGCUUCUAGGCAAUGGUAUUCUAAGCUUACUCUGCUAUUAAUUUCAAGGGAUACACACAUUUAUUGAACGAUUGUUCUUUGUUUUUUAAACGAACAAAUUCAUCUAUCUCUAUUGUGACAGUAUAUGUCGACGAUAUAUUACUAACAAUGAGUGAUACAAAGGAAUUGACUGAAUUGAAAGAAUUUUACAUCAGGAGUUCAGAAUCAAGGAUCUUGGAUACUUACAUUAUUUUUUGGGAAUGGAAGUUAUAUGAGAGUCUCAUGGUUUGAUUCUGUCUCAGCAGAAGUUCACCCUUGAUUUACUACAGGAAUUUGAUUCUCUCCACAAGUCGCUUGUCUCUUGUCCUCUUAACCCAUCUGCUCGCCUUCUUGCUCAGUCUGGUGACUCUAUCCCUGACCCGACCUUGUAUCGCCAUUUGUUGGGCAAGCUAAAUUACUUGACACAUACAAGACCAGAUUUAUCCUACACUGUACAACACCUUAGCCAAUACAUGCAGGAUCCUAGACAGUCUCAUCUAAAUGUUGCUCUUCGUGUCCUCCACUAUUUAUUGAAAGAUCCUGGACUUGGGCUCUUUAUGUCUUCUUCACCUUCAUACCAACUCCUUGUAUUUUGUGAUUCCGACUGGGCCACAUGUCCUAAUUCGCGCAAAUCCGUCAGUGGUUUCUACAUUUCUCUUGGAUCAUGCCCAAUUUCAUGGAAAUCGAAACAACAAACAUCCAUUUCUCUCAGCUCUACAGAAGCUGAAUACCGUUCAAUGCGACGAGUUGUGGCUGAGAUCACUUGGUUGGUACGCAUAUUUGAUGAUCUUUCUAUCCCAAUUUCACUUCAUGUUCCUCUUCAUUUGGAGAGUCAGGCGGCUAUUCAUAUCGCUAAAAAUCCUAUUUUUCACGAAAGAACUAAAUACGUCGAACUAGACUGUCAUUUUGUCAGACAACAGUUCCUCGUCGACCUAAUUUCACUCUCAUAUGUUCGCUCCUCUUCUCAGCUCGCAGAUCUAUUUACCAAGUCUCUCACAGGGCCGUUUCAUCACCAUCUUUUGAACAAGUUGGGUGUCCUUUCAUCCCCCUCCAACUUGAGGAGGGGGGUGUUGGUGUUAGAAAUGAAAAAGAAGUUUCUCUCGAAUUCUCCGAUGAAGGUAAUGAAGAAAGACAAUGGAGACAAAAUCGGCU